UACGAAGGGGGCUAGCGUUGCUCGGAAUCACUGGGCGUAAAGGGUGCGUAGGCGGGUUUUUAAGUCAAAGGUGAAAUCCCUCGGCUCAACUGAGGAACUGCCUUUGAAACUGUCUGGCUUGAGGCCGGGAGAGGGUAGCGGAAUUCCCAGUGUAGCGGUGAAAUGCGUAGAUAUUGGGAGGAACACCAGUGGCGAAGGCGGCUACCUGGACCGGUUCUGACGCUGAGACGCGAAAGCGUGGGGAGCAAACAGG
RNAcentral lists this ribosomal RNA (253 nucleotides) under uncultured bacterium. RNAcentral's name for it is "partial 16S ribosomal RNA". It matches the Rfam family "Bacterial small subunit ribosomal RNA", at positions 524 to 776 of the family's 1533-position model. The record is from RNAcentral.